This 498-nucleotide ribosomal RNA is filed under the name uncultured bacterium. RNAcentral describes it as "partial 16S ribosomal RNA". The record is from RNAcentral.
GGAGUUAGCCGGUGCUUCUUCUGCGAGUAACGUCACAGAUGUAAGGUAUUAACUUACACCCUUUCCUCCUCGCUGAAAGUGCUUUACAACCCGAAGGCCUUCUUCACACACGCGGCAUGGCUGCAUCAGGGUUUCCCCCAUUGUGCAAUAUUCCCCACUGCUGCCUCCCGUAGGAGUCUGGGCCGUGUCUCAGUCCCAGUGUGGCUGAUCAUCCUCUCAGACCAGCUAGGGAUCGUCGCCUAGGUGAGCCUUUACCUCACCUACUAGCUAAUCCCACCUGGGCUUAUCCAUCAGCGCAAGGCCCGAAGGUCCCCUGCUUUCCCCCGUAGGGCGUAUGCGGUAUUAGCAGUCGUUUCCAACUGUUAUCCCCCACAAAUGGGCAAAUUCCCAGGCAUUACUCACCCGUCCGCCGCUCGUCAUCUUCAAAAGCAAGCUUUUGAAAUGUUACCGCUCGACUUGCAUGUGUUAGGCCUGCCGCCAGCGUUCAAUCUGAGCCAG